UGACACUAUAUACCAUUACUUCAAUAGCCACUGGAACAGUCAUCAGCAAUGUCCUCAUAUCGAGCUUCCCUCAAUCCAAACUAGAGUCAGCUCAAUUCAAAAUCAGAUUCUGCUGAAUCCGAUGAUGGAUGACGAAAUCAUAGACACCCUCUCGUAGAUGGAAUCUGAUCGGGCCCCUGGUCCUUCGGGGUUCCCACCCACCGUUGUUCUUCAAAUAUUUUCGGUCCACCAUCAGAAAUGAGGUUUUUGCUGUGAUUCAAGAGGUUUUCAGAUUGGAAAAAAUGUCUCGUGUUGAGGUCUACGUGCCCAGUCGUACACACCCCAUCUCCUCCACCCAGCAUGAGGUAUUGUCCGCUCUGAAACAGUGCGUGCCCGCUACAGGGAACCACGACGCUGCCCCUCACGGUUUUACCCCGCAAAAGGCACCUCACAUGGAAGAAGGGGAGUGAUAAUACUUAAGCAGUAGAGUCCCUUGAUUGUAUUCGGUAUGGGAUUUUCAGGCUCAAUGCCCCCGAUGCCCA
This 521-nucleotide long non-coding RNA is filed under the name Elaeis guineensis (African oil palm). RNAcentral's name for it is "long non-coding RNA (EGUI_LNC000219)". The record is from RNAcentral. Lineage: Eukaryota; Viridiplantae; Streptophyta; Magnoliopsida; Arecales; Arecaceae.